UGGGGAAUAUUGCACAAUGGGCGAAAGCCUGAUGCAGCGACGCCGCGUGAGUGAAGAAGUAUUUCGGUAUGUAAAGCUCUAUCAGCAGGGAAGAAAAUGACGGUACCUGACUAAGAAGCCCCGGCUAACUACGUGCCAGCAGCCGCGGUAAUACGUAGGGGCAAGCGUUAUCCGGAUUUACUGGGUGUAAAGGGAGCGUAGACGGCGAAGCGAGUCUGAAGUGAAAACCCAGGGCUCAACCCUGGGACUGCUUUGGAAACUGUUUUGCUAGAGUGUCGGAGAGGUAAGUGGAAUUCCUAGUGUAGCGGUGAAAUGCGUAGAUAUUAGGAGGAACACCAGUGGCGAAGGCGGCUUACUGGACGAUAACUGACGUUGAGGCUCGAAAGCGUGGGGAGCAAACAGGAUUAGAUACCCUGGUAGU
RNAcentral lists this ribosomal RNA (421 nucleotides) under uncultured Clostridium sp. RNAcentral's name for it is "bacterial SSU rRNA". It matches the Rfam family "Bacterial small subunit ribosomal RNA", at positions 355 to 794 of the family's 1533-position model. The record is from RNAcentral. Lineage: Bacteria; Bacillati; Bacillota; Clostridia; Eubacteriales; Clostridiaceae.